Molecule: long non-coding RNA, 1120 nt
Filed under: Felis catus (domestic cat)
Lineage: Eukaryota; Metazoa; Chordata; Mammalia; Carnivora; Felidae
Description: lncRNA (ENSFCAG00000051473.1)
Source: RNAcentral
GGCUGCACUUAGGUUAGCUGGGGGGAGGUGGGGGGCGCUCUGGUCUGAGGUCAUGGCCCUGCCCCGGGGUCUAGUCUUGGGAUCACGGCCUUGCCCAGGGUUUGGUCUGAGGGUCACAGACCCUUGGCUGGGGGUUCUGGUCUGAGGUCAUGGCCCUGCCCUAGGGUCUGGUGUGGGGAUCACAGCCUUGCCAGGGUUUGGUCGGAGAGUCACAGACCCUUCCUUGGCUGGGGGUUCUGGUCUGAGGUCAUGGCCCUGCCCUAGGGUCUGGUGUGGGGAUCACAGCCUUGCCAGGGUUUGGUCGGAGAGUCACAGACCCUUGGCUGGGGGUUCUGGUCUGAGGUCAUGGCCCUGCCCUAGGGUCUGGUGUGGGGAUCACAGCCUUGCCGGGGUUUGGUCGGAGGGUCACAGACCCUUGGCUGGGGGUUCUGGUCUGGGGUCAUGGCCCUGCCCCAGGUUCUGGUCUGGGGAUCACGGCCUUGCCAGGGUUUGGUCUGAGGGUCACAGAUCUUUGGCUGGGAGUUCUGGUCUGAAGAUCAUGACUCUGCUCUGGGUCUCAUCUGGGGGUCAUGGCCCCACCCUGGGUUUCUGGUCUGGGGAUCACGGCCUUGCCAGGGUUUGGUCUGAGGGUCACAGAUCUUUGGCUGGGAGUUCUGGUCUGAAGAUCAUGACUCUGCUCUGGGUCUCAUCUGGGGGUCAUGGCCCCACCCUGGGUUUCUGGUCUGGGGACCACGGCCCUGCCUUGGGGCCUGGUCUGGGGGUCAUGGCUCUGCCCUGGGUCUGGUCUGGGGGUCAUGACCCUGUCCUGGCCUCUGGUCGAAGGUCAUGGCCCUGCUCUGGAAUCUGGCCCCAAGUUCUGGCUGUGAUCAGAGGGACUGGCUGGUAGAGAUACUUCUCUGAGCCAGAAACCAAGCCCUUUCCAGGCUGUGACCUUGGUGUGGCCGCCGGGCGGCUCCCACCCUCAGGGCCUGGAGAGAAGCAGGACUCAGCCAGCACACCAACAGGCAGGCUCUGCAUUCCCAGCACCCACUAGAGCAUGUCCCCAAUCCAGGCCAAGCCCCAGCUGUUCAAGAACCUUCUGCCCGAGGCUGGGAAUGGCCCUCCUGAGGCCGUGGACCAC